GCUGGAGGGGCCUCCCUUGCCCACCUCUCUUCGCUGGCACUGGCCUCCCGCACCCGGGUCUGCAGUCCCUCCGCCAUCUCACAGGUGUGCAGCCGCUAGGCCUGGGGGAUCCGAAUGACUGGGGCUGGAUAGGAAUGCCUUCGUGUUUCCCAAGACCCCGGGGCCUGCUCCACAAAGUUUGAAGGGAGGAGUUGAGGCGCCUUGAAUUUUCCUUCGUGAGUUUGGAGACCAGCCGAUUUUUCAUGAAGCUAGCAAAGACUGCGGUCCUGGAUCCUGCAACAUAUACCUCAUUUUCUCCAGGCCUCUCCACUUGCUCGAGCUCUCAGCCACCAGGAGACAGACGGAAGGGGCUUCUGGGCUGUGUUGGGAGCGGGCACUGUCCCCUACCCACUCCUGCACAGUUUCCCAAAGUCCAGCGACCUCCGACCCUCCUUGGGGGAAAAAAUACCAGUACCCAGACAACUCUGCAUCCUGUUAUAUGACUGGGCUUGCUUCAGGAAUAUCUUACAAAGAAGAAGAAGAAGAAGGAAGAGGAGGAACGGCUUGGAGUCAUGUUUACAUCUAGUUCUACUGAUCCGUUCACAUCUGGAGAGUUUAUUUAUAACUCCCUCUAUAACUCUCUGUUUGGAGGCACUGGUGGCUCUACUGACAGACUGAUGUCUAGGAAAUAUUGCUCUAUGUCUAACCGUACCUAAAUGUGCUGUGGUUGUAUUUACAGAUUUACGUUUGAGGGAAAUAUAAUUAUUUCCAUUGUAUUUGUGCAUAUACAGUAGUUAUAGGAGCAGAUUUAUAUAUGGGAAAAUAUACGACUCUCUUACAGCCAUCCGGCUUUAUGUACAUUUGAUAUCCUAACAGAUUUAUAUCUCUGAACAGCUAUAUAGAUAAAAACGUAUAUCGUUAGAAUUA
Molecule: long non-coding RNA, 906 nt
Organism: Homo sapiens (human)
Lineage: Eukaryota; Metazoa; Chordata; Mammalia; Primates; Hominidae
Source: Ensembl